GUCUUACCAGACACAGUUAGAUCUUAGCUAUUCCUGUCUAAUACUGUCUGGUAAUGCCGU
This 60-nucleotide microRNA precursor is filed under the name Gekko japonicus. RNAcentral describes it as "Gja-Mir-8-P3a_pre stem-loop". The record is from RNAcentral. Lineage: Eukaryota; Metazoa; Chordata; Lepidosauria; Squamata; Gekkonidae.